Molecule: ribosomal RNA, 429 nt
Filed under: uncultured bacterium
Lineage: Bacteria
Description: bacterial SSU rRNA
Rfam family: Bacterial small subunit ribosomal RNA
Source: RNAcentral
UGGGGAAUCUUGGACAAUGGGCGCAAGCCUGAUCCAGCCAUGCCGCGUGGAUGAUGAAGGCCUUAGGGUUGUAAAAUCCUUUCGCCGAGGACGAUAAUGACGGUACCCGCAGAAGAAGCCCCGGCUAACUCUGUGCCAGCAGCCGCGGUAAUACAGAGGGGGCAAGCGUUGUUCGGAAUCACUGGGCGUAAAGCGCACGUAGGUGGAUAGUUAAGUUCGGGGUGAAAUCCCAGGGCUCAACCCUGGAACUGCCUCGGAUACUGGCUAUCUCGAGUCCGGAAGAGGUGAGUGGAAUUCCUAGUGUAGAGGUGAAAUUCGUAGAUAUUAGGAAGAACACCGGUGGCGAAGGCGGCUCACUGGUCCGGUACUGACACUGAGGUGCGAAAGCGUGGGGAGCAAACAGGAUUAGAUACCCUCGUAGUCCCUGAG